Molecule: long non-coding RNA, 340 nt
Filed under: Mytilus galloprovincialis (Mediterranean mussel)
Lineage: Eukaryota; Metazoa; Mollusca; Bivalvia; Mytilida; Mytilidae
Source: RNAcentral
GGGUUUUAAAAGAUACAUUUAUAAGUCAAUUCUUCCCAUGAUUCAUAAACUAAAAUUCAGGAUGUAGUUAAAACUGCAAUAAAUCAUCUGCAGACUUCAUUUCUGGAAGCAUGUGUAUUAAAAAAUAAAGGAAAUAGAUCUUCGGCCUUAUAAAACACUUUUAAAAAUAACUGUCUUGUAUAAUUAUACAAAUCAAUUUCUUUUAACUCAAAUUUAGAGAAGCUCAAACCUCUAUAUCAUACAGGUUUUCAGCAGUAUCAUGUUUUUCUUCAGUUUUUUACUUUUUUCAUUUUUCUUAAAUAUACUGCUGUGCCAAGAAAAAAUGUGUAAUAUAAAGGCU